RNAcentral lists this long non-coding RNA (1014 nucleotides) under Betta splendens (Siamese fighting fish). RNAcentral's name for it is "lncRNA (ENSBSLG00000019247.1)". Lineage: Eukaryota; Metazoa; Chordata; Actinopteri; Anabantiformes; Osphronemidae. The record is from RNAcentral.
CAGGUGUCAAUCUUUAAAGUUGGCCAAUUAGUCACCCUGAGACGUUUACCUGAAAAGAGGCGGGACGAGAACAGAGAAAAAAGUACAGGAAAAAAGUGUAAAUACUCAUAGUUAUUAUGUUACGUAUUUUAUUGUUUGUGGCCACGUAAAAGAUAUUAAGAACACUCUAAAUGGAAACGCAAGUAAACGCACAUGUUUUAGGGUCUUUUCAUUUAAACUUGGCUCAGUUUGUGAGCUACUUAGCGUGCUAGCUAGUUGGGAGCUAAAUGCUAGCGCAACGACAGACUGUUACAGGUGGACAGUGGAAACAUACAUGUUGCAGUUUCUGACUGAAUUAGUGUGUUUCGGCGGCCGCAGCUCAAACGGUUUGAAAGCGGUGGCUAACAGCGUUCUGGACCCCAAAAAGCUAGGACAGCGAAUGAAGCCCAUAAAACGUCCGAUAGGGAGAAGGAACUGUCCGCUUGUCAGCAACAGGCUGAGGGGAGUCAGGGGAACAUCGGUGUUGAUGCUAGAGGGGUUACCAUCAGCUCUGAUGUCAGAAUGCUGUCUUUACUGGCUGUCCCUUCGCUGUGGACUUGGCUGGGCUCCCCGAUGAAAAUCCACAGCUUCAUCCAUCAGAGCAGCUAUACAUUAUGUCACUGAGUCAUUACGGCAUCUCAGGACAUGUCCUCUUCUGAACCCGGCUCCAGAAAGAGCAACUCGAUGGAGAGGUUAAGAGCAACAAAUUAUCAGAUUUCACAUACAGUAAGAAAUCUAAUUUUGCUCUCCUUUAGUUGUAUGUUUUUGCAUUAUUUUCUGAAAGUCAAAUAACUUAAUUUAGUUAACCCUAACCCUACCCCCCAACCCUAACCCUACUUAUGUACAGUAUACAGUAGAUAUUGCAUGUUUAUGUAGUCAUAAGUCAUGCCAGCUUGAAAAUGUUUAAACUGUAGCAGAUGGUAUUAAAUUAUAAUAUAUUAUUCAUAUAUAAAAUUGAAAAUAUUGACAUUUUUGUGAGUAAGCAUUGAUUAAUGU